RNA transcript from Athalia rosae (coleseed sawfly), 2753 nucleotides. It is a transcript of the gene named probable ribosome production factor 1, with no coding region annotated. The record is from RefSeq and is a predicted model, not a curated record. NCBI's taxonomy places the organism in Eukaryota, Metazoa, Arthropoda, Insecta, Hymenoptera, Athaliidae. The transcript is spliced from 6 exons.
ACAUUAGCGUCUAACGAGUAUAAUUAAUUGUAAAUUAACGACGCAUUGGUUCCAUCGGUACCAAUCUUCGUUCAACGCAUCGGGUAUCAAGAGUCGGCGCGGGUUCCGGUUUUGAAAAGUAUCGAUCGCGAGAUAUCGUUGCGGGUAAAACAGAACUUGAUCGUCAGUUUUCCAUGGUUUUCCACUCACGCACAUUGCCGGCUGACGAGCUCUUGCUGAAAUCGUCAAAACAUAACCUCAAGUACAUAGUUCAAAACACGUGUGGAAACGGCGUGAAAUGAAGUGCUGACCGAUAGUAAUUUUUGUUCCUUCACAACCCUUGGAUAAAAAUGAAGCUAAAAAGCCUGCGUAAGAAUCCAUUAAAACGCGCGGUACCAAAGGAGGAAGAGAAUGCUGAGACUGCAGAAACAACAACGCCUGAAGAAUCUAAGGUUUCGAUACCCUCGGACAGUAAUUUUAAUCACAUAAAAUGUAAGAUAGUUCGUCACCAGAAGAGCGAAAAGUUUCGUCGAGAAAAGCGAAAAUUGAAAAAAGAGGAAAGAAAACAACGGCUGAGAGAAGGGUUGCCGAAGCAGGUUCCACACACAAUAGAGAGCUUGAGAGAAAAGGAUGAAACCACCAUACAAGGGGAUAUCGACGAUGAAGAAAAUGCAGAGAUCAAAGCUGACUUUGAAAAUGACGAAUUUUCUGCAUACUACAAUCAUUCUUACGAACCUAAAGUCCUCAUCACUUAUUCUGAUAAUCCACUGAGAAAGACUAGGAUCUUUGGACGAGAAUUGACCCGGAUUAUACCCAACUCCAUAUCUUUGUACAGAAACCGAUCUGGAGUCAAGAAAAUGGUCAAAAGUGCCAUUACCAAAGGGUUCACCGAUCUGAUUGUGAUCAAUGAGAAUAUGAAACAACCGAAUGGAAUGUUGGUUGUGCAUUUGCCUGAUGGUCCAACGGCACAUUUUAAACUUAGCAAUGUGAAAAUCACUCCAGAGUUGAAACGAUCUCACAAAGAGAUAACCGAACACCGCCCUGAGGUUAUUUUGAACAACUUCACCACUCGGCUUGGACACUCAGUUGGCAGAAUGCUCGGAGCAUUAUUUCAUUAUGAUCCGGAAUUCAAGGGACGAAGAGCUGUCACUUUUCACAAUCAACGUGACUACAUAUUUUUCAGACAUCACAGGUACGAGUUCAAUUUAAAGACAGGAAAACCAAAGCUGAGGGAAUUGGGUCCAAGAUUUACAUUAAAGUUACGUUCGUUGCAACGUGGAACAUUUGAUAGUAAAUAUGGUGAAUACGAGUGGAUAAUACAAGGACGUAGACACGCCAUGGAAACUAGUAGACGAAAGUUCUUCCUCUAGGGAGCGUGAAGACCGCCCAUGUUCACGCCGAGCAUUUUUAUCACUUUGAAAGAGCUACUCGUUACCUGCAGUGCCUGAAACGAUGGAAUCCGAAAAUUAGUAUUUGAGUUUGUCACCUGCUCAUCAAUGACCUACCAGCUGAAUACUGCGACGAUCCACGCGAUUAUCAGUCAUUGAUCCACUUCGUUUGCCAAACGGCUGAAGACAAAAUGUGAAGAGAUUGAAGUUCCUGGUGGAUCAAUUCAUCAGGGAGAAUGAUACUCACCAUAUCUGUAACCACGAUAUCGAUGGAGGAGUCUUUCAACGGCAGUUCCGAAACGCUCCAUUCGACCAAGUCCAUGCUUCGUGGUACGAGCUGGCCGUCAAUGUUGGACUUUGUUCUGGCAACUGCCUUCUCGUGAUUAUCUCCACAGAGAACGUUACUCAUUUCGAAUCAACGACUGGAUAAACAUUGCAAUGACGUGUCAAAUGAAGCUGGUUAUUGGUCUGAACAAAACCCAACGACUUCACAUACCACGCAGCUUGAUUUAUUAUCAUUAACCAACGUUGAGCGGCGCUACUCUAGUGGAAGGAUCAGUGGACGCAAGGACGAGUAUGAGCUCGUAAGUGCUGAUCUACGGUUCAGGUUAACCUGCCUACCGAAAUCAUCGAGUUAAUACCUAUUUGUCGUUUUUCGUAAGAAAGAAAUCAGGAUUAGUCGAUUAAUUUUAUUCGAAUUUCAUUUUAAUUGACUGGUACGUAUUACCAAGGUAAACAUUAUACAUCAGCAAACAAAGAAACGAUCGGCCAUAAAUUACAAGCGUUAAUUAGAAUUAAAAAUGAGAUGAUUAAAAUUUUGGAACCCAUUACUCUAUAUAAUUAUAGAUUAAUUGAAUUAUUCUAAGGUCAAUAUACAGCAGAAAACAAUCGCCUGAGCGAUUCAAGAUUAUUUAAUCCUAUAAUGUAAUGUAAUGUAAAUUUAUUUGAACUGGCCACAGGACAAAGUCCUCUAGUAGCCAAAAGGCAAUUACAAUAAAUAUCACAUAAAAUUACAUAAAUUACAUAAAAUCAAAAACAAAAACAAAAAUUGAUCGCAUAAACUGAAUUAUACAAUAUAAACAAGGUAAAUCGUAAUCAAAAACAUCGUUAUAAUUAUAAUUAUAAGUAUAAGUAUAAGAAUAAGUAUAAGUAUAAAUAUUAGUAUAUAAGUAUAUAUAAUUAUAAUUAAAGUAUAUAGUAUAUUAGUAUAUAGUAUAUAAGUGUAUAUAAGUAUAAGUUUAAUCUUAUAGGAUACCUAAUUGCUAACAGACGCCUUUUAUGUUCUUCAUAAAUAUUAAAACUAGCAUUAAAUUAAUUAAUCUCAACUGUACGUCAAUUUUGUAUAUCAGAAUCUUACUUGAGGAAUAAAAAUAUAAUAUUACCACA